This 64-nucleotide transfer RNA is filed under the name Aquatica lateralis (Japanese firefly). RNAcentral's name for it is "tRNA-Pro". Lineage: Eukaryota; Metazoa; Arthropoda; Insecta; Coleoptera; Lampyridae. The record is from RNAcentral.
CAGAGAAUAGUUUAUGUAAAAUAUUAACUUUGGAAGUUAAUGAAGGAUAGUUAUUUUUCUCUGA